Molecule: non-coding RNA, 117 nt
Filed under: Elphidium margaritaceum
Lineage: Eukaryota; Foraminifera; Rotaliida; Elphidiidae
Source: RNAcentral
GUUAACGCCAGCAAGAGAUAACGACAACGAGCCACAGAACAAACGUACAAUAUUCAUGUAAUUGUGGUUAUUUUCAUUGUUUUUUUAAAUAUUUUUAUGUCUAUAUUUGUUGUCUUU